AACGGUCUAUACCUGCGGUACCUGCGGAAGGAUCAUUACCGAGUGAGGGCCCUCUGGGUCCAACCUCCCACCCGUGUUUAUCGUACCUUGUUGCUUCGGCGGGCCCGCCUCACGGCCGCCGGGGGGCACCUGCCCCCGGGCCCGCGCCCGCCGAAGACAUCAUUGAACUCUGUCUGAAGAUUGCAGUCUGAGUAGAUUAGCUAAAUCAGUUAAAACUUUCAACAACGGAUCUCUAGAUCG
Molecule: unclassified non-coding RNA, 240 nt
Filed under: soil metagenome
Description: partial contains 5.8S ribosomal RNA, internal transcribed spacer 2, and large subunit ribosomal RNA
Source: RNAcentral